Molecule: unclassified non-coding RNA, 317 nt
Filed under: Hevea brasiliensis (rubber tree)
Lineage: Eukaryota; Viridiplantae; Streptophyta; Magnoliopsida; Malpighiales; Euphorbiaceae
Source: RNAcentral
GAGCGAUACCCGCCCUGGACUCCCUUGAUUGCCAUUCCUAAUAAAAAUUCACUGCUACUUCUAAUAGGUAUGAGAAGAGACAAUGCACAUAUGGCCAUAUUCUGCCUGAUUCCUCUGCCCUUCUCUAUCUCUGCCAAGCCUUCAAAACUUUCUCACUCUAAGCACCUUAUCUUUUGCUAUUGUUGCAAGAUUCCAGAGAUUAUGUUUCUUUUAACAACUCUCUUCUCCCAGUCCUGUUUGCCAAAACCAGUGACAAUGAAGCUGUUGUUUUUGUUGUUAUUACUUGAAAAUAAUGCAAAUUCAUUGUUUACUCCAAA